This 1673-nucleotide long non-coding RNA is filed under the name Mus musculus (house mouse). Its description in RNAcentral is "RIKEN cDNA 1700018A04 gene". The record is from RNAcentral. Lineage: Eukaryota; Metazoa; Chordata; Mammalia; Rodentia; Muridae.
CCCAGUCUGUCCUCUUCAAAGCCGCAGAUACACCCGCAUUCAGCAGGGAGAACUCCCAACCUUGGCCAGACUCGAUUACUCCUAACUUCAGCAAUUCAUUCUCUGUUCCUUCCAGCAGCCCGUAUCCUAUCCCAGAAGUGCCCCCAACCUAGCGAUCCGUGCCCGGACACACCCUGCCCCUCCUCCACCCCCGCCGGACCCUGUGGGGGCUGAGUCUUGGGGAGACUGUGCCCUGGAAGAGCUUCCUUAGCCACGGUCCCCAGUGCCCGAACUGACACCAUCUGUCAACUUCAUUUAGGCAGUGCUGCCCUCAGCCACACGCCAGGGUGCCAGACGUCCCAAGGGAAGGCGUUUCAGGGCUCUGCUGUUUAAGAAUGAAAACUGGAAGAGACAAAUCCUGGACUUGGGAAUUUUCCAGUCUGUUUGGCGGAUCUCAGAGAGAAUCAAAUCCACCCCCAACCCAUCCUGAAUUUUUCUGUGACCUUUACCAGGCUACGUUUUGAAAACACUCUUCCUUCUGGUGAACAGUUUUAGAUAGAGGAUGGGGGUGUGACUCUUGGUGUAGAUACUCAGGCCAUAUAAUGCCAGAUGCAAACGCAGAUGUGUAUGAGUUCACAGAAUGGAGGAUAUAAAUGUCCCCACUUUCCUGUGUGCCUUGGGAAGCAUCCAUUCUUUUAUUUAGAGAGGAGAGAGAGAGAAACCCUCAUGGACUCAGAUUUGCUCAAUUUCCUGCCUUAAACAUUCGUACUUUAAAGGAGCUCGUUGGAGCUCUUUUGCAUAUGAAAUUGGACAGCGAUAGCAUAUGUUGGGAAAAUUUGACCAAAGCAACAUUCUUCUUUAAUCUGCACAUGCUGUGGCUUGUGAGAGUUUGUGUUCACAUGCAGACUAACUUAUCAACAUGGAAGAAGUUAGUCCACACACAACAUAGUCCAAGAUAAACUCUUCUCGGAGACAUGGUGAGUGAUUCUAAAGACUCCCCCUGAAAAGGAUAUUUCGAAAGUUUAUUCAGCUCUAUUCACUUUAAAUAAGGGUGAAGACAUUAGUGGAUUAUUCUUACAGUUGUUUUGAGUUACCAUGCAGGAGGCGAUCGAUUGAAGGCUUAAGCAUAACAUUUUGAGUUUACUCUUUGAUUAUUUGUUAUUAAGAAAUUAAUUUUAGAGUUGAUCACGACAGAAUGAGGUCUUUAACUUAAAAUGUUUUUCAACUUUGUCAUACAGAUUGGUGUACAGCUUACGUAAUUUUCAUAUUUUCAAAAAGUAUUUCCAGGACCAUUGCGGUAUGCCAGCACCUUUGCCAUGUACGAUCAAUGGUAAAGUUAACUUGCUGAACUGCUCUGCUGCCUGCUACACACUAGAAUUAUUUAUGAGAACUCUAAACAAUGGCAGACUAGCUAGUUCUGGGGCCUGAAUUGAGCCCCCCCCCCCCUCAAAUCUGAAGCUGUAACAGCCAGCACUUCAGAAUCUAAAUCUGGUCAUUGUGUUUUGUAAGAGGCUAUUAGGACAAAAUGGAGUGUUCCCUACCUGUGUGUGACUGAUGCUCUUGGGAGAAGAGAUCAGACCCAGACAGAGGGACACAAUUUGAGAACACAGAGGAAGACUCCAUCCAAAAGCUAAGGAGAGAACUCUGCCUGUGCCUUGAUCUUGGACUAAAUAAAAACUAAUGUUGCAACUUCA